CGCCAAACAACUACGAGUAGUAACUUAAAACUUAAAAGACUUGACGGUGCUUCACUACAACCUAGAGGGGCCUGUGCAAUAACCGAUAACCCACGUUUAACCCAACCCCCCCUCGCCAACAGUCUAUAUACCGCCGUCGUAAGCUUACCUUGUGAAAGCUAUAGAGUAAGCCUAAUAACCCUACAUUAAAACGACAGGUCGAGGUGUAACCAAUGGGGGGGACUAUCAUGGGCCACACUCUCUUCUUAGAGCACGGACAAUACCAUGAAAAAGUAUUCAAAGAAGGAUUUAGCAGUAAGCCGGGACAAAAUUCCCGCCUGAACAUAACGCAAUGAAGCGUGUACACACCGCCCGUCACCCCUGCAUCACCCCACAAAACAUUCAUAAAACCACCUACUAUAAACCAACCAGGGCAAGUCGUA
RNAcentral lists this ribosomal RNA (422 nucleotides) under Echis coloratus. Its description in RNAcentral is "partial 12S ribosomal RNA". Lineage: Eukaryota; Metazoa; Chordata; Lepidosauria; Squamata; Viperidae. The record is from RNAcentral.